CUUAAUAAAGAGUGACGGGCGAUUUGUGCAUGCCUAAUGUCUUAUUCUUUAAGUCUUAUUAUUCUUUUUAAAACUUUAGUUUUAAGUCCUCUUUCCCCUCCUUUCCUUUACGGGCCCAUCUUUUUUAAUCUAUGUAUCCCAUGGCCCCCUAUUUAUAAGCUCUGUCUUGAUUUGCUCUUUCAUUUUAAUUAAUUGAACAAGAUAGUUUUUAAAAGUUUCUUUAGUAACAAUGAUAUAGGGGCUAUUUACAUAGGUCUAUUUUAUCGUGGUUUAUCUAUUACGGGACAGGAUCCCCUAUGAAGUUUAAGCACCGCCAUCUUUUACUAAGUUUCGUUUAUUUAACUACUAUUUUUUAUUAUGCUAGAA
This 366-nucleotide ribosomal RNA is filed under the name Abacarus sp. HN234_2. Its description in RNAcentral is "partial small subunit ribosomal RNA". The record is from RNAcentral. Lineage: Eukaryota; Metazoa; Arthropoda; Arachnida; Trombidiformes; Eriophyidae.